GAGGGUGCGAGCGUUGUCCGGAAUCACUGGGCGUAAAGGGCGCGUAGGUGGCCUGGUAAGUAGGGGGUGAAAUCUCGAGGCUCAACUUCGAGGCUGCCUCCUAAACUGUCGGGCUUGAGCAGAGUGAGGCAGGUGGAAUUCCCGGUGUAGCGGUGGAAUGCGUAGAGAUCGGGAAGAACAUCGGUGGCGAAGGCGGCCUGCUGGGCUCUUGCUGACACUGAGGCGCGACAGCGUGGGGAGCAAACAGGAUUAGAUACCCUGGUAGUCCACGCCGUAAACGAUGGGUACUAGGCGCCGGGGGGAGCGACCCCUUCGGUGCCGUCGCUAACGCAAUAAGUACCCCGCCUGGGGAGUACGGCCGCAAGGCUG
Molecule: ribosomal RNA, 369 nt
Filed under: uncultured organism
Description: bacterial SSU rRNA
Rfam family: Bacterial small subunit ribosomal RNA
Source: RNAcentral